Molecule: long non-coding RNA, 1260 nt
Organism: Manis pentadactyla (Chinese pangolin)
Lineage: Eukaryota; Metazoa; Chordata; Mammalia; Pholidota; Manidae
Exons: 3
Source: RefSeq, a predicted model, not a curated record
UUUGUCAGCGACAACAGCAGAUGACGAAGGACACCCAAAAUCUGUUUUUAACUAUGAUUUUUCUUGGACGAGGUGCUAACAGGGGCUAAAAGCACCAUUCCAGAGUGCAGCCUGGAGAAGGGCCUGACGUGCUAGCUCAUUAAAGGACCAGAGGAGUUUCCAGGGAGUGGAGGGAGGGGCGACCAGGGAGAGCAGAUACAGUUCAGGAAUCAAUGUGCAGUUUGCUAAGCUCCUCCCUUCCCAGGAAACGAAACCGAGAGCUGCCAGGCUGAGGCAGCCGAAGCGAGAGAAGCUGACCGCUUCCUGGAGCCCGUUCACAGCCACUGGCUCUCCCGUCCCUGCCCCGGGCAUCAUGGGGGAGCUCAGAGACAUCCCGGCCACGCAUCUGGACAAGUAUAUCGAAGACCGUCUCCUGCCAGACACGCAUUUCCGCGUGCAGGUGAACCAAGCCAUCGACAUCAUGUCCAGUUUCCUGAAGGAGAGGUGUUUCCAAAGAGCUGCUCACUCUGUCCGGGUGUUGAAAGUUGUGAAGGGUGGCUCCUCAGGCAAAGGCACGUCCCUCAGAGGCCGAUCUGAUGCUGACCUCGUCUUUCUCAGCCCCCUUACAAGUUUUCAGGAGCAGCUUCAGCACCAAGGAAAGUUCAUCAGGGAAAUUAGGAGACAGCUGGAAGCCUGUCGAUGAGAGAAAAAGUUUGAUGUGGUGUUUGAGGUCCAGAAUCCGCGAUGGGAGAAGCCCCGUGCACUGAGCUUCAUGCUCAGGUCCCCCCGUAUCCAAGUAUCCAAGAGGGGGUGGAGUUUGACGUCCUGCCUGCCUUUGAUGUCCUGGGAGUGCUGGCCAAGAAGAGUCUUGGAUUAUCUCCUUCAGGGGCUCCCCACUGCCCUCGAGGAGCAAGCUUUUCCACAUGACAAGCAGAGUGCACCAUGACCUUGCCGCGGUUCUCCUCUGCGGCCAUCCCUUCCUUCCUCUCCUCCGUGGACCCCCCGCGAUGCAGCCAGAGACAUCCGCAGGUCCCCGAGGCUGCCAGGCGCCCACCUGAGCACUUGCCAGGAGCUGCUCCUUCCUUGUUUCCCACCCCAGCCCACUCCCAGGCUGGCCCCUCCUCACUCUUCAGGUCUGUGAGGGCGUCCCUCCCUUCAGGAAGCCCUCCUGGGCCACUCAGAGCUGGAAGCCCAGCCUCCCUCAGCCUCCUCUGUAACUUCCUCGUCACUUUUCUAUCUUCCCCUCCCCAAUGUGACCUUGAGGGCAUGAACUAAGCAAUU